This 2083-nucleotide unclassified non-coding RNA is filed under the name Channa pulchra. RNAcentral's name for it is "partial contains 12S small subunit ribosomal RNA, tRNA-Val, and 16S large subunit ribosomal RNA". The stretch from base 673 to 2083 matches the Rfam family "Bacterial large subunit ribosomal RNA", at positions 1 to 2597 of the family's 2925-position model. Lineage: Eukaryota; Metazoa; Chordata; Actinopteri; Anabantiformes; Channidae. The record is from RNAcentral.
GCUUAGCCCUAAACAUUGAUAGCACCCCACACAAGCUAUUCGCCAGGGGACUACAAGCAUAAGCUUAAAACCCAAAGGACUUGGCGGUGCUUAAGAUCCACCUAGAGGAGCCUGUUCUAGAACCGAUACCCCCCGUUCAACCUCACCCUCUCUUGACCCUUCCCGCCUGUAUACCGCCGUCGUCAGCUUACCCUGUAAAGGAACCAUAGUAAGCAAAACUGGCACAGCCUAAAACGUCAGGUCGAGGUGCAGCACAUGAGAGGGGAAGAAAUGGGCUACAUUGACUACUUUAGUGAAUACAAACAAUGCACUGAAACGCGCAUCCAAAGGAGGAUUUAACAGUAAGCAAAGAAUAGAGCGCUCUGCUGAAGUUGGCUCUAAAGCGCGCACACACCGCCCGUCAUUCUCCCCUAAUUAAUCUUUCAUAAUAAUUAAAAUACCCCCUCCACAAAGGGGAGGCAAGUCGUAACAUGGUAAGUGUACCGGAAGGUGUACUUGGACAAACAGGACGUAGCUAAACACUAAAGCAUCUCCUUUACACCGAGAGACUGUCCGUGCAAAUCGGAUCGCCCUGAGCUGAAUAGCUAGCCCAACUACCUAAACCCAAAAAUCCAUCAAUAACCCCUUAUACACAACCAUAAGAUUAAUCAAACCAUUCUCCCCCUCAAGUACGGGCGACGGAAACAGGAACACGGAGCCAUAGACAAAGUACCGCAAGGGAACGCUGAAAGAGCAAUGAAACAGUCCAGUAAAGCAAUAAAAAGCAGAGACUAAACCUCGUACCUUUUGCAUCAUGAUUUAGCCAGUACACCCAGGCAAAAAGAAUUUUAGUCUGACACCCCGAAACUAAGUGAGCUACUCCAAGACAGCCUAACAUAUAAGGGCCAACCCGUCUCUGUGGCAAAAGAGUGGGAAGAACUUUGAGUAGAGGUGAUAAAUCUACCGAACUUAGUAAUAGCUGGUUGCCUAAGAAAUGAAUAAAAGUUCAGCCUUUCAGCUUCUCUCCUCACACGGCCCAUGGCCCUAAUCAGACACAAAGAAACUGAAAGAGUUACUCGAAGGGGGUACAGCCCCUUUGAACCAAGAAACAACUUUUACAGGCGGGUAAAGAUCAAAAUAACUUAAGGAGACAUGUCUAAGUGGGCCUAAAAGCAGCCACCUAAGCAGAAAGCGUUAAAGCUCAGACAUAUUCCCCCCCCCCCCAAUCCCGAUAACACCCUCUCAUCCCCCUCUCCCUUAUUAGGCUAUUUUAUGCAAACAUAAAAGCACCCAUGCUAAUAUGAGUAAUAAGAAAAGCAAAGCUUUUCUCCCAGCACGCACAUACAUCGAAACGGACCUUCCAUCGAACAUUACCGGCCCCAAACAAAGAGGGCAAACGAACACUAAGUAAACAACCAGAAAAUCCUCCAAAAAUAACCGUUAAGCCUACACUGGCGUGCUCACUAGGAAAGACUAAAAGAAAAAGAAGGAACUCGGCAAACACACCGGCCUCGCCUGUUUACCAAAAACAUCGCCUCUUGCCAGCUAAAAAUAAGAGGUCCCACCUGCCCAGUGACAUUACGUUCAACGGCCGCGGUAUUCUAACCGUGCAAAGGUAGCGCAAUCACUUGUCUUUUAAAUGAAGACCUGUAUGAAUGGCAUGACGAGGGCCAAGCUGUCUCCUUUUUCUAGUCAAUGAAAUUGAUCCCCCCGUGCAGAAGCGGGGCUAUACCCAUAAGACGAGAAGACCCUGUGGAGCUUUAGACACCAGGAACAGACCUUGUUCAACGUCCCCCAAUAAAAGGAGGCCAACUAAAGGGCCCUGCUCUGAUGUCUUUGGUUGGGGCGACCCUGGAGAACACAAAACCUCCACGCGGAGCAGGAGAACUCCUCCCACAACUAAGAGCCGCUACUCUAAGUAAUAGAAUCUCUAACCUAAAGAUCCGGCAAAGCCGAAUAACGAACCGAGUUACCCCAGGGAUAACAGCGCAAUCCCCUUUCAGAGUCCCUAUCGACAAGGGGGUUUACGACCUCGAUGUUGGAUCAGGACAUCCUAAUGGUGCAGCCGCUAUUAAGGGUUCGUUUGUUCAACGAUUAAAGUCCU